UAGGGAAUCUUCCGCAAUGGACGCAAGUCUGACGGAGCAACGCCGCGUGAGUGAAGAAGGAUUUCGGUUCGUAAAACUCUGUUGUUAGAGAAGCACAGCGCAUAGAGUAACUGUUAUGCGUGUGACGGUAUCUAACCAGAAAGCCACGGCUAACUACGUUCCAGCAGCCGCGGUAAUACGUAGGGCGCAAGCGUUAUCCGGAAUUAUUUGGCGUAAAGGGCUUGUAGGCGGUUCGUCGCGUCUGGUGUGAAGGCCCAUCGCUUAACGGUGAGUUUGGGCCGGGUACGGGCGGGCUAGAGUGCAGUAGGGGAGACUGGAAUUCUCGGUGUAACGGUGGAAUGUGUAGAUAUCGGGAAGAACACCAAUGGCGAAGGCAGGUCUCUGGGCUGUUACUGACGCUGGGAAGCGAAAGCGUGGGGAGCGAACAGG
Molecule: ribosomal RNA, 429 nt
Filed under: Bacteroidota bacterium
Lineage: Bacteria; Pseudomonadati; Bacteroidota
Description: Bacteroidetes bacterium partial 16S ribosomal RNA
Rfam family: Bacterial small subunit ribosomal RNA
Source: RNAcentral